This 2111-nucleotide ribosomal RNA is filed under the name Salmonella enterica. Its description in RNAcentral is "partial 23S ribosomal RNA". It matches the Rfam family "Bacterial large subunit ribosomal RNA", at positions 711 to 2803 of the family's 2925-position model. RNAcentral also lists the same sequence under 1 other name. Lineage: Bacteria; Pseudomonadati; Pseudomonadota; Gammaproteobacteria; Enterobacterales; Enterobacteriaceae. The record is from RNAcentral.
AGACCCGAAACCCGGUGAUCUAGCCAUGGGCAGGUUGAAGGUUGGGUAACACUAACUGGAGGACCGAACCGACUAAUGUUGAAAAAUUAGCGGAUGACCUGUGGCUGGGGGUGAAAGGCCAAUCAAACCGGGAGAUAGCUGGUUCUCCCCGAAAGCUAUUUAGGUAGCGCCUCGUGAAUUCAUCUCCGGGGGUAGAGCACUGUUUCGGCUAGGGGGCCAUCCCGGCUUACCAACCCGAUGCAAACUGCGAAUACCGGAGAAUGUUAUCACGGGAGACACACGGCGGGUGCUAACGUCCGUCGUGAAGAGGGAAACAACCCAGACCGCCAGCUAAGGUCCCAAAGUCAUGGUUAAGUGGGAAACGAUGUGGGAAGGCCCAGACAGCCAGGAUGUUGGCUUAGAAGCAGCCAUCAUUUAAAGAAAGCGUAAUAGCUCACUGGUCGAGUCGGCCUGCGCGGAAGAUGUAACGGGGCUAAACCAUGCACCGAAGCUGCGGCAGCGACACUGUGUGUUGUUGGGUAGGGGAGCGUUCUGUAAGCCUGUGAAGGUGUGUCGUGAGGCAUGCUGGAGGUAUCAGAAGUGCGAAUGCUGACAUAAGUAACGAUAAAGCGGGUGAAAAGCCCGCUCGCCGGAAGACCAAGGGUUCCUGUCCAACGUUAAUCGGGGCAGGGUGAGUCGACCCCUAAGGCGAGGCCGAAAGGCGUAGUCGAUGGGAAACGGGUUAAUAUUCCCGUACUUGGUGUUACUGCGAAGGGGGGACGGAGAAGGCUAUGUUGGCCGGGCGACGGUUGUCCCGGUUUAAGCGUGUAGGUGUGUGUUCCAGGUAAAUCCGGUUCACUUUAACACUGAGGCGUGACGACGAGGCACUACGGUGCUGAAGCAACAAAUGCCCUGCUUCCAGGAAAAGCCUCUAAGCAUCAGGUAACAUCAAAUCGUACCCCAAACCGACACAGGUGGUCAGGUAGAGAAUACCAAGGCGCUUGAGAGAACUCGGGUGAAGGAACUAGGCAAAAUGGUGCCGUAACUUCGGGAGAAGGCACGCUGACACGUAGGUGAAGUGAUUUACUCAUGGAGCUGAAGUCAGUCGAAGAUACCAGCUGGCUGCAACUGUUUAUUAAAAACACAGCACUGUGCAAACACGAAAGUGGACGUAUACGGUGUGACGCCUGCCCGGUGCCGGAAGGUUAAUUGAUGGGGUCAGCGCAAGCGAAGCUCCUGAUCGAAGCCCCGGUAAACGGCGGCCGUAACUAUAACGGUCCUAAGGUAGCGAAAUUCCUUGUCGGGUAAGUUCCGACCUGCACGAAUGGCGUAAUGAUGGCCAGGCUGUCUCCACCCGAGACUCAGUGAAAUUGAACUCGCUGUGAAGAUGCAGUGUACCCGCGGCAAGACGGAAAGACCCCGUGAACCUUUACUAUAGCUUGACACUGAACAUUGAGCCUUGAUGUGUAGGAUAGGUGGGAGGCUUUGAAGUGUGGACGCCAGUCUGCAUGGAGCCGACCUUGAAAUACCACCCUUUAAUGUUUGAUGUUCUAACGUGGACCCGUGAUCCGGGUUGCGGACAGUGUCUGGUGGGUAGUUUGACUGGGGCGGUCUCCUCCUAAAGAGUAACGGAGGAGCACGAAGGUUGGCUAAUCCUGGUCGGACAUCAGGAGGUUAGUGCAAUGGCAUAAGCCAGCUUGACUGCGAGCGUGACGGCGCGAGCAGGUGCGAAAGCAGGUCAUAGUGAUCCGGUGGUUCUGAAUGGAAGGGCCAUCGCUCAACGGAUAAAAGGUACUCCGGGGAUAACAGGCUGAUACCGCCCAAGAGUUCAUAUCGACGGCGGUGUUUGGCACCUCGAUGUCGGCUCAUCACAUCCUGGGGCUGAAGUAGGUCCCAAGGGUAUGGCUGUUCGCCAUUUAAAGUGGUACGCGAGCUGGGUUUAGAACGUCGUGAGACAGUUCGGUCCCUAUCUGCCGUGGGCGCUGGAGAACUGAGGGGGGCUGCUCCUAGUACGAGAGGACCGGAGUGGACGCAUCACUGGUGUUCGGGUUGUCAUGCCAAUGGCACUGCCCGGUAGCUAAAUGCGGAAGAGAUAAGUGCUGAAAGCAUCUAAGCACGAAACUUGCCCCGAG